GGCAAAUCCGGAAAAUCAAGGCUGAGGCGUGAUGACGAGGCACUACGGUGCUGAAGCAACAAAUGCCCUGCUUCCAGGAAAAGCCUCUAAGCAUCAGGUAACAUCAAAUCGUACCCCAAACCGACACAGGUGGUCAGGUAGAGAAUACCAAGGCGCUUGAGAGAACUCGGGUGAAGGAACUAGGCAAAAUGGUGCCGUAACUUCGGGAGAAGGCACGCUGAUAUGUAGGUGAAGUCCCUCGCGGAUGGAGCUGAAAUCAGUCGAAGAUACCAGCUGGCUGCAACUGUUUAUUAAAAACACAGCACUGUGCAAACACGAAAGUGGACGUAUACGGUGUGACGCCUGCCCGGUGCCGGAAGGUUAAUUGAUGGGGUUAGCGCAAGCGAAGCUCUUGAUCGAAGCCCCGGUAAACGGCGGCCGUAACUAUAACGGUCCUAAGGUAGCGAAAUUCCUUGUCGGGUAAGUUCCGACCUGCACGAAUGGCGUAAUGAUGGCCAGGCUGUCUCCACCCGAGACUCAGUGAAAUUGAACUCGCUGUGAAGAUGCAGUGUACCCGCGGCAAGACGGAAAGACCCCGUGAACCUUUACUAUAGCUUGACACUGAACAUUGAGCCUUGAUGUGUAGGAUAGGUGGGAGGCUUUGAAGUGUGGACGCCAGUCUGCAUGGAGCCGACCUUGAAAUACCACCCUUUAAUGUUUGAUGUUCUAACGUUGACCCGUAAUCCGGGUUGCGGACAGUGUCUGGUGGGUAGUUUGACUGGGGCGGUCUCCUCCUAAAGAGUAACGGAGGAGCACGAAGGUUGGCUAAUCCUGGUCGGACAUCAGGAGGUUAGUGCAAUGGCAUAAGCCAGCUUGACUGCGAGCGUGACGGCGCGAGCAGGUGCGAAAGCAGGUCAUAGUGAUCCGGUGGUUCUGAAUGGAAGGGCCAUCGCUCAACGGAUAAAAGGUACUCCGGGGAUAACAGGCUGAUACCGCCCAAGAGUUCAUAUCGACGGCGGUGUUUGGCACCUCGAUGUCGGCUCAUCACAUCCUGGGGCUGAAGUAGGUCCCAAGGGUAUGGCUGUUCGCCAUUUAAAGUGGUACGCGAGCUGGGUUUAGAACGUCGUGAGACAGUUCGGUCCCUAUCUGCCGUGGGCGCUGGAGAACUGAGGGGGGCUGCUCCUAGUACGAGAGGACCGGAGUGGACGCAUCACUGGUGUUCGGGUUGUCAUGCCAAUGGCACUGCCCGGUAGCUAAAUGCGGAAGAGAUAAGUGCUGAAAGCAUCUAAGCACGAAACUUGCCCCGAGAUGAGUUCUCCCUGACUCCUUGAGAGUCCUGAAGGAACGUUGAAGACGACGACGUUGAUAGGCCGGGUGUGUAAGCGCAGCGAUGCGUUGAGCUAACCGGUACUAAUGAACCGUGAGGCUUAACCUUACAACGCCGAAGAUGUUUUG
This 1434-nucleotide ribosomal RNA is filed under the name Escherichia coli EC4100B. Its description in RNAcentral is "LSU rRNA". It matches the Rfam family "Bacterial large subunit ribosomal RNA", at positions 1535 to 2925 of the family's 2925-position model. Lineage: Bacteria; Pseudomonadati; Pseudomonadota; Gammaproteobacteria; Enterobacterales; Enterobacteriaceae. The record is from RNAcentral.